This 291-nucleotide unclassified non-coding RNA is filed under the name uncultured fungus. RNAcentral's name for it is "sequence contains ITS1, 5.8S rRNA gene". The stretch from base 243 to 291 matches the Rfam family "5.8S ribosomal RNA", at positions 1 to 49 of the family's 154-position model. The record is from RNAcentral. Lineage: Eukaryota; Fungi.
UCUCCGUUGGUGAACCAGCGGAGGGAUCAUUGCUGGAACGCGCCCCACGGCGCACCCAGAAACCCUUUGUGAACUUAUACCCCACAUCGUUGCCUCGGCAAGGCUGGGAGACGCCCCGUCGUCUCCCCCCCUCGCGGGCCGCUUCUGGCGGUCCCGGGCGGAGCAGGUCUGCCGGCGGCCCACCUAAACUCUUUUGUCUUCAAUAGUAUUACUUCUGAGCAAACAAACAAAAAAUGAAUCAAAACUUUCAACAACGGAUCUCUUGGUUCUGGCAUCGAUGAAGAACGCAGC